This 253-nucleotide ribosomal RNA is filed under the name uncultured bacterium. RNAcentral's name for it is "partial 16S ribosomal RNA". It matches the Rfam family "Bacterial small subunit ribosomal RNA", at positions 524 to 776 of the family's 1533-position model. The record is from RNAcentral.
GACGGAGGGUGCUAGCGUUGUUCGGAAUCACUGGGCGUAAAGCGCACGUAGGCGGACUCUUAAGUCGGUGGUGAAAUCCUGGAGCUCAACUCCAGAACUGCCUUCGAUACUGGGAGUCUCGAGUUCGGGAGAGGUGAGUGGAACUGCGAGUGUAGAGGUGAAAUUCGUAGAUAUUCGCAAGAACACCAGUGGCGAAGGCGGCUCACUGGCCCGAUACUGACGCUGAGGUGCGAAAGCGUGGGGAGCAAACAGG